GAGAACCAGACAGUUGGACUGGGGAGUGAGGGAACCAGACAGUUGGACUGGGGGUGUGAGAGAACCAGACAGUUGGACUGGGGUGUGAGAGAACCAGACAGUUGGACUGGGGGUUGAGAGAACCAAACAGUUGGACUGGGGGUGUGAGAGAACCAGACAGUUGGACUGGGGGAGUGAGAGAACCAGACAGUUGGACUGGGGAGUGAGAGAACCAGACAGUUGGACUGGGGUGUGAGAGAACCAGACAGUUGGACUGGUGGAGUGAGAGAACCAGACAGUUGGACUGGUGGAGGGAGAGAACCAGACAGUUGGACUGGGGGAGUGAGAGAACCAGACAGUUGGACUGGGGAGUGAGAGAACCAGACAGUUGGACUGGUGGAGUGAGAGAACCAGACAGUUGGACUGGGGGUGUGAGAGAACCAGACAGUUGGACUGGGGAGUGAGAGAACCAGACAGUUGGACUGGGGGAGUGAGAGAACCAGACAGUUGGACUGGGUGAGUGAGAGAGCCAGACAGUUGGACUGGGGGAGUGAGAGAACCAGACACUUGGACUGGGGGUGUGAGAGAACCAGACAGUUGGACUGGGGUGUGAGAGAACCAGACAGUUGGACUGGGGGAGUGAUAGAACCAGACAGUUGGACUGGGGGAGUGAGAGAACCUGACAGUUGGACUGGGGGAGUGAGAGAACCAAACAGUUGGACUGGGAGUGUGAGAGAACCAAACAGUUGGACUGGGGGUGUGAGAGAACCAGACAGUUGGACUGGGGGUGUGAGAGAACCAGACAGUUGGACUGGGGGAGUGAGAGAACCAGACAGUUGGACUGGGAGUGUGAGAGAACCAAACAGUUGGACUGGGGGUGUGAGAGAACCAGACAGUUGGACUGGGAGUGUGAGAGAACCAGACAGUUGGACUGGGAGUGUGAGAGAACCAGACAGUUGGACUGGGGGAGUGAGAGAACCAGACAGUUGGACUGGGGAGUGAGAGAACCAGACAGUUGGACU
Molecule: long non-coding RNA, 1001 nt
Filed under: Salmo salar (Atlantic salmon)
Lineage: Eukaryota; Metazoa; Chordata; Actinopteri; Salmoniformes; Salmonidae
Description: lncRNA (ENSSSAG00000120744.1)
Source: RNAcentral